UACGGAGGGUGCAAGCGUUAUCCGGAUUCACUGGGUUUAAAGGGUGCGUAGGUGGGCAAGUAAGUCAGUGGUGAAAUCUCCGGGCUUAACCCGGAAACUGCCAUUGAUACUAUUUGUCUUGAAUACUGUGGAGGUCAGCGGAAUACGUCAUGUAGCGGUGGAAUGCGCAGAUAUCAGGAGGAACACCGAUAGCGAAGGCAGCUCGCUGGGACGGUACUGACGCUGAGGCGCGAAAGCGUGGGGAGCAAACGGG
Molecule: ribosomal RNA, 253 nt
Filed under: uncultured bacterium
Lineage: Bacteria
Description: partial 16S ribosomal RNA
Rfam family: Bacterial small subunit ribosomal RNA
Source: RNAcentral